AGAGUUUGAUCAUGGCUCAGAUUGAACGCUGGCGGUAUGCUUAACACAUGCAAGCCAACGGUAACAGCAAGAGCUUGCUCUUGGCUGACGAGUGGCGGACGGGUGAGUAACGCGUGGGAAUCUGCCUAUUGGCGGGGGAUAGCCCGGAGAAAUCCGGAUUAAUACCGCAUACGCCCUACGGGGGAAAGCUGGGGAUCUUCGGACCUGGCACCAAUAGAUGAGCCCGCGUUAGAUUAGCUUGUUGGUGGGGUAAUGGCCUACCAAGGCAACGAUCUAUAGCUGGUCUGAGAGGACGAUCAGCCACACUGGGACUGAGACACGGCCCAGACUCCUACGGGAGGCAGCAGUGGGGAAUAUUGCACAAUGGGCGCAAGCCUGAUGCAGCAAUACCGCGUGUGUGAAGAAGGCCUGCGGGUUGUAAAGCACUUUCAAUUGUGAGGAAAAGCUUUUGGUUAAUAACCUUGAGUCUUGACGUUAGCAAUACAAGAAGCACCGGCUAACUCCGUGCCAGCAGCCGCGGUAAUACGGAGGGUGCAAGCGUUAAUCGGAAUUACUGGGCGUAAAGAGUACGUAGGUGGUUUAUUAAGUCAGAUGUGAAAGCCCCGGGCUUAACCUGGGAACUGCAUUUGAUACUGGUAAACUAGAGUAUGGUAGAGGGGGGUAGAAUUCAUAGUGUAGCGGUGAAAUGCGUAGAUAUUAUGAGGAAUACCAGUGGCGAAGGCGGCCCCCUGGACCAAUACUGACACUGAGGUACGAAAGCGUGGGUAGCGAACAGGAUUAGAUACCCUGGUAGUCCACGCCAUAAACGAUGUCAACUAGCCGUUGGGAGCUUGAGCUUUCAGUGGUGCAGCUAACGCGUGAAGUUGUCCGCCUGGGGAGUACGGCCGCAAGGCUAAAACUCAAAUGAAUUGACGGGGGCCCGCACAAGCGGUGGAGCAUGUGGUUUAAUUCGAUGCAACGCGAAGAACCUUACCUACCCUUGACAUCAUCAGAACUUGUUAGAGAUAACUCGGUGCCUUCGGGAACUGAAUGACAGGUGCUGCAUGGCUGUCGUCAGCUCGUGUCGUGAGAUGUUGGGUUAAGUCCCGCAACGAGCGCAACCCUUAUCCUUAGUUGCCAGCACAUUAUGGUGGGAACUCUAAGGAGACUGCCGGUGAUAAACCGGAGGAAGGUGGGGAUGAUGUCAAGUCAUCAUGGCCCUUAUGGGUAGGGCUACACACGUGCUACAAUGGCCAGUACAAAGGGCAGCAAACUCGCGAGAGUAAGCAAAUCCCAUAAAGCUGGUCGUAGUCCGGAUUGGAGUCUGCAACUCGACUCCAUGAAGUUGGAAUCGCUAGUAAUCGUGAAUCAGAAUGUCACGGUGAAUACGCUCCCGGGCCUUGUACACACCGCCCGUCACACCAUGGGAGUGGGCUGCAAAAGAAGUGGGUAGUUUAACCUUCGGGAGAACGCUCACCACUUUGUGGUUCAUGACUGGGGUGAAGUCGGAACAAGGUA
This 1497-nucleotide ribosomal RNA is filed under the name metagenome. Its description in RNAcentral is "bacterial SSU rRNA". It matches the Rfam family "Bacterial small subunit ribosomal RNA". The record is from RNAcentral.